UAGUCUUUUGGUGACCCUCAAAGGCUUCCACUACUUCAUUUUACGAUCGAUUCAAUAUCGAGAAACAUGAAGGUGCGGGAGCCUAUGAAGGUUAACUAAAGGAACU
Molecule: microRNA precursor, 106 nt
Filed under: Glycine max (soybean)
Lineage: Eukaryota; Viridiplantae; Streptophyta; Magnoliopsida; Fabales; Fabaceae
Description: miR5037d stem-loop (gma-MIR5037d)
Source: miRBase by way of RNAcentral